UUUACAAUCUGAACUUGAAAGCUUGGCAAGCCAGUGGGACAUGCUGAAGCAUCCACCACUAGAUGAGUACACAUCCCGUACUGUGGAGGAAGGACCUGGGGGAGACCCAGAGGAGAUGAAAAUUGUCAGCAAAGCCUGUGCCUCAUGUAAAAACUGCCCCCUGUGUUGCUACCAGAUUCUCCUCAGAUUCAACCUGCUCACAGACGCAUACCCUCUUCUUUCUCUGUCCUACAAAUAUCUGCUGACACUCUCAGUGACACAGGUAGCCUGUGAAAGAUCAUUUUCAACUUUGAAAUUCGUCAAGAGCAGGCUGAGAAGCAGCUUAUCUGCUGGUAAAUUGGAGGCCUUCAUGCUGAUGUCAACAGAAAAGGACAUCCUCAUGGGAUUGGACACAGACAGUGUCAUAGACAGAGUGGCCGAAAAAAGUGAACUGCUUCGGAAGCUCCUACUCUACUAAAGUAAGACAAUAUUUUUAAUAUCAGUUUAGUUUUGUUUCUCUUCAAAAUUACCUAUACUUGAUAGUAAGGAAUAAAAGGCAUAACACUUUCAUUGUUGAUUGUCUUCUUUUUCCUUUUAGGAAGCCUCUGUCUCAGGUUGUGGCGACGACUUGCUUUCACAAAGGUUCCAUUUCAGGAUUGUGAGAUUGGAUUGUGAGGAAUGUUUUUGGAGAUCGACAGACGUUUGGUUUCUGGGGCUUCACAUGUACAUAGUUCUUACUGGAUUGACGGGGUUUGUGAGCGUUGGUUCCGGUGAAGUCAGCUAUUCACCAAGUUUCAUGAGUGUUUGAUGGACUGUAGUCGGUGUAGACAGACAAGGCAAUGCACCAAGUUUCAUGAGUGUUUGAUUGACUGUAGUGUGUGUGCCCAAAGAGCUGAUUGGAACUGAAGAGCGCAGACAAGGCUAUGCACCAAGAGCUGAUUGCACUGAAGAGAGCAGAUAAGGCCAGUUCAUCGGCAGCUGCCAGGGGCUCUCUUCUCUCAACGUCCAGGUUUUCUGCCAGCUAUCAUGACAAAUUUAUAGAUUCAUUUUAAAUAAACAAUUGAGUGUGAAGUCACUGCACAUUUCCUGGU
Pleuronectes platessa (European plaice) is the source of this 1070-nucleotide long non-coding RNA. RefSeq lists it as uncharacterized. The record is from RefSeq and is a predicted model, not a curated record. The transcript is spliced from 6 exons. Lineage: Eukaryota; Metazoa; Chordata; Actinopteri; Pleuronectiformes; Pleuronectidae.